GCCGGAGUGGUGAAACUGGUAGACGCACUGGACUCAAAAUCCAGCGGGCUUUGGCCCGUGUCGGUUCGAUUCCGACCUCCGGCACCA
Molecule: transfer RNA, 87 nt
Filed under: Desulfocapsa sulfexigens DSM 10523
Lineage: Bacteria; Pseudomonadati; Thermodesulfobacteriota; Desulfobulbia; Desulfobulbales; Desulfocapsaceae
Description: tRNA-Leu (CAA) (tRNA-Leu-CAA-1-1)
Rfam family: tRNA
About the family: Transfer RNA (tRNA) molecules are approximately 80 nucleotides in length. Their secondary structure includes four short double-helical elements and three loops (D, anti-codon, and T loops).
Source: RNAcentral